GCCUGCAGCCCUGAGAGUCUGAAUAUGCAACGCAUAUGCUAAGUGGGGCGUGGCCUCCGGGCUGGACGGGAACGCCCCGCCGCUGGCCCCGCCCCUCCCGAGACCAGAUGGCUCCGCGGGUGCGUGGUUAUUUAGGAUGACGAGCAGCACCCCCUCCUCUAGAAGAUUAAGAAUCUUGGUGCUUGGUUUUGCCCAGGGGAUUCCAGAAGAGGGCGGCUGCCUAGGGGUGUGGUCUCUAGAUCCUGAAGAAAUUGGAAAGGGAAGGAGUCCUUCUUCAGGCGAUGUUUAUACAGACAGAUCCUGGGAUUUGCAGUCCUAGGCAGCCAGAAGGAGCAGAAGUGGGAUGUGAAGGCCAGAAGCCAGUCCUGAUUCCACAAAGAGAUAAACUCCGGCCACAGCAGGAACAGGUUAGCUAUGGAUUGUUUUAGAACUUCACAAAGCAAUUCCUGGAUUUUUCCCACUGUCAUUCUCUGCUUAUUUGGAUUUUUCUCCACAAUGAGACCAUCAGAACCAUUCCUUAUUCCGUAUUUAUCUGGACCCGAUAAAAACCUGACCAGCGCAGAGAUCACAAAUGAGAUCCUUCCCGUGUGGACCUACUCCUACCUGGCGCUCCUGCUCCCCGUGUUCGUCCUCACCGACUAUGUCCGCUACAAGCCGGUCAUCCUCCUGCAAGGCCUUAGCUUCAUCGUGACCUGGCUGCUCCUCUUGUUUGGCCAAGGGGUAAAAGCCAUGCAAGCUGUCGAGUUCGUCUUUGGGCUCGUCUCGGCCACCGAGGUGGCCUACUAUGCCUACAUCUACAGCGUGGUUAGUUCUGAACACUAUCAGAGGUUGAGCGGCUACUGCAGGAGUGUCACGCUGGUGGCCUACACUGUGGCCUCUGUGCUGGCGCAGCUCUUGGUAUCCUUGGCGAACCUGUCAUACUUCUACCUCAAUGUCAUGACCUUGGUCUCUGUCUCUGUGGCCUUCUUAUUCUCGCUGUUUCUACCAAUGCCUAAAAAGAGCAUGUUUUUCCAUGCAAAACCCAGCAGCGAAAUUUCUCCAAAGCCACUGGGGAAGGAUGCCGACCUUCAGGAGGCUCAGGAGGAUCACGGAGCAGUUCAGCAGAAAUCAUCCAGCUUUCCUGGGAAUCUGGGAGACAGCCCUAUGGGCAGCUGGAAGUCUGAAAAUGUGGUUUUGAGGAAUUUUGUGCAGUGGUUCCAAGAUCUCAAGGAGUGCUACUCUUCAAGGCGUCUUUUUUACUGGUCCCUGUGGUGGGCUUUUUCUACAGCAGGUUUUAAUCAAGUUUUGAAUUAUGUUCAAAUCCUCUGGGAUUACAAGGCACCAUCCCAAGACUCCUCCAUCUACAAUGGGGCAGUGGAAGCUAUCGCAACGUUUGGAGGGGCUCUGGCUGCCUUUGCAGUGGGCCAUGUGAAAGUGAACUGGGACCUCCUGGGAGAGCUGGCCCUCGCAGUCUUCUCGGUUAUCGGCGCUGGCUCUCUCUUCCUUAUGCAUUACACCCUCAGCAUCUGGCUGAGCUACGCUGGGUAUUUGAUAUUCAAGUCCAGCUACAUGCUUCUGAUCACCAUAGCAGUAUUCCAGAUUGCAGUUAAUCUGAGCAUGGAACGCUAUGCCCUGGUGUUCGGAAUCAACACCUUUAUCGCCUUGGCGAUUCAGACCAUCAUGACUAUGAUUGUGGUAGAUCCCAGCGGGCUCAACCUGGCAAUCAGUAUUCAAUUUUUAGUUUACGGGAGUUAUUUUGCUGUCAUUGCUGGAAUUUUCCUAAUGAGAAGCAUAUACAUUCUUUACUCAGUCAAAUGCCGGAAAGAAGUAGAGAGACUACCUACAAUUCAGAGCCUGCCUAAGCCACACACAGAGGAGCCGGUUAAUACCAUCCUGUCAACAAAGCUCUGACUUUAUUAUAUCAGGACAGUGGUUUUCAAAUCAGUGACUAAAAUGGGAAGAUUUUCAGAUGGAUGCACUGACAUGUUCUACAAGCUGGAUUCCAAGAACCUUUCUAAAAAUACAACAGAACCUUCGCUUUAGACCAUGUAUCUAUGUGCCCAAUCGAAUUUGUGUGCAGCUGGUGGGGCCCAUUCACAGUUAAAGAACACAUACUGGAAACCCAAAUGCUUAGAAAACUCUAGUUUGAUAACUUCUAAGAUCCUGCAAAGAGCACAGAAACAAACCAAGGAAAAACACCAGCCAUCGGUGGUGGACUUCUGCCCUCUAGUGAAUGGGAAACCUAAUUGAACCGACCCUGCGCUUGAUCUGGAUGUUUCUUGUGCUCACAGGAGGCACACGAGCUAUUUUUCUUCCUCUCCCAGCAAGUAUGCUUCUAUGUUAACUUAUACUCUGAGAGAAUUACCAAAUCUGACCCCAUUUCUAAGGGCUCUUUCUCGCCUUUAUAAACAUUGCACUAUUCACCAGCUAUUGUUCAAUAUUGUAACUAUUUUUAUUUUUUAUAAUUAUUUUUCAUUUUGAGCUUUUUUGAGCUUUAUAUCACAACUACCUCAGGAAUGGCUGCGGAUGUUACUGCAUCACAGGAUGACCUGAGCUAGAAGAGGCAUCAUUAGCCAGGUCUUUUUCCCUCAUUGAAGUGACCUCUCACGUGUCCUGUUACAACCACGAUAAGAAAAUGCUCUGGGCUACUUGAUUUGUCUGUCUGAAAGGAUAAGGUUCCCCCGUCAAAGCCUGGAAGAGGAUGAGUGUGGAACAGCACUGAUUAGAAGCUUAUGUGUGGCAAGAUGGGGGAGAGAUCAGCCUGCCAGGCAAACAGAAGUUGGGUACAGUUGCACUUCCGACAGCUCUGGAGUGAGAAAGAUUAAGUCAAAGCAAACGGCCAGUCCAAAGUCAGUCCAUGAGCUCUGCUAGAACCUUGAUUCACCUUCUAUGAAAUUCAGGGGUGGUUGACCUUUAACACUGACUCCUAACACCUCUGAUUAAUAUCUGCAGCUCUACACAUUUCUUCUAUCCCUGGAAAUGUAAGUUCUGUAGAAUGAUACCUUCUGUUCAAGCAGUUGAUGUUUAAGUGUUCAGUAUAGAAAUUUAACAAUGAUCUCUGGGUGCCAAGUUUUAAGGAUCUAGUACAUCAUGAAAGAUGGCUCAACCUGAAACACGUGUGACCAGGCUGUGACGUGUGUCAGAGAGGACUGCUGAGGCUGACAACAUCACUUGUGCCCUUGCGGUGAAAUUAGAUACCUGCUGUAUUUAAAAAUGUCACAAUGGGUUCCGGAAUUCCGUUGCACCCUGUGAUGUUAGCACAGUAACACGUAGGGCUAAUAUACAUUUUUAAUCUUAUUGCCUAAUUGUCUCGAUUCUUUUUUUCACUGUAAUUCUGAUCAUUUGAUAUAACUAUUGAGAUCAAGAGACGGAGGGAUGGGAGAGAGGAGAGGAAAAAGGGUGAAAAACAGGAAUAAGAAUGUGUUGUGUGCAAGCACCGACUCUACACAAGACGUGUAAACAUUAUGCGCUGCAAAAAUGGACUAAUAAAGAUUUUUAAAACUUAAAAAUUCAAAUAGAUACAAACACCUUUAUAUAUAUUCGUAUCUAGAGUAACACAAACUGCUUCCACCGCUGCUUAUUUAGGUCUUUUAAAAAAUGCCAUUUAUUGAUUUCUAACAUUUUCUGGCAGUGUGUUUUUUUAGUUAUCUGGUUAGAGCUUAGAAACAAGACAGUUAAGAAAGUGAACUCAUACCAGCAUGUUCUCCUUUGGAAUGGAAACUUUUAAGAGAAAGUGGAAAUUAAUUUUUAAAGCGGGGUAAGAUUUUCCUCAUUUCUAAUAAACUGCUGGCUCCUAACCACAAUUACUGCGGUGAGUCAAAAUUGACCUUUUUUAUUUCUGAGUGUUUACAGGGGGAAAAAAACAUUUUAACUAACAGCUCUCACUUCUAGGGUAUUUUACAGACCAUGUACAAAAAUGCCUUUGUAUAUGAUGAACAAAUGAGACAAUGAAUAAAAAGGAUGAUCCCACAAGGCCAAGCAGCUUGUGAUGUAACAACUGUGUGCCAUGCUCAGAAUGUUCGCACACCCACUCCUAGUAAACUGACUGGGUGGUGCAGAGCUAAGCCACGUUUUUAGUGAAGUUAACAAGGCGUCAGUCGGCAAUGGGCCUAGAAUGCAGUUACAUUUGAAAUGCAUCAGGCAGAAUACAUCUCACCACUAAUGCCUUCCCAAACUCUUGCUUCAUACUCCAAGCCAGCUGCAUGAAAGCAAUCACGUUCUAAUACCGAGUUCCAGACCACGCCAGGGCCCUUCUCAGCUCCUCUGUCUAAUCAGCAAGAUGGCGUUCACAUAGGAUUUGAUGGUUUUCUUAAAUAUGGGUAUGAUUUAGUUUAAGAAUUGAAAGAAUAAUUUCUAUAAAGGGAUGACAAAGAGUGUGACGUCGGUGUCAUCACAUGUUGCUUCAGGACCACGUGCUCUGUUCAAAGCCACCCUCGUGUAGACCUUGUCCAAGACCAGCCACAACCAACCACUUAUAGACAUCCCUUUACAGUACAUAAAGAUGCUUUUGGAAAAAGCACAGACCCUAGUACUUGGUCCCAGCCAGCCUUCGCAGACAUCAAUUCAGGCCAGUUCCGGUUUGGAGAGGUCAGUGUUUCAUGCAACAAUAAAUAAAAUGGAAGUAAAAAUAAUAUUUAACUCCUUGAAGGCUGAGAUAUGUAUUUUAUGUGUUGGUAUUAAAAUGCCUCACCACUAUGGAAAGUAAUUAGAAGAUGUGAAAAAAAAUCUACAGAUUUUGCCUACAAUUAUGGUAUAGUUUCCAGUAACUUAACAACUAAAACAAAUAAAAGUUUAUCAGUAGUAAAAUGUGCAAGAUUAUAGACAUAAAUUUAAUUGCCAAAUAUUGAAAGUACUUUUUUUGUAUCAAACCCAAAAGCUUGCCAGUGCUCUAUCCAACCCCUGAGUGCUAAGUUUUUUAAAUUACCUGUAAAAUGAAUAAAUGGAUCAGAUCAAGCAAUGCCUUCAUUUACUAUUUUUUAAAUGACUGCCAAGCAGCAUCUGAAAGCAGAUGAUGAUAGAGGCAUCUUUUGCAAGUUGUGUUCUUUGGAACAUUAGUGAAUAAUUUAAGUAACUGUUAAAAUGUGUCUCCAAAAUUUUACAAUGAUAUAUCUGUGAAGAAGUAUUUUUCAAGAGAAACACUUGCUAUUUACUUAUUUU
Molecule: RNA transcript, 5136 nt
Organism: Cavia porcellus (domestic guinea pig)
Lineage: Eukaryota; Metazoa; Chordata; Mammalia; Rodentia; Caviidae
Gene: Slc19a3
Gene name: solute carrier family 19 member 3
Exons: 8
Source: RefSeq, a predicted model, not a curated record